RNAcentral lists this ribosomal RNA (160 nucleotides) under uncultured bacterium. RNAcentral describes it as "partial 16S ribosomal RNA". It matches the Rfam family "Bacterial small subunit ribosomal RNA", at positions 331 to 508 of the family's 1533-position model. The record is from RNAcentral.
CCAGACUCCUACGGGAGGCAGCAGUGGGGAAUAUUGCACAAUGGAGGAAACUCUGAUGCAGCGACGCCGCGUGAGUGAAGAAGUAUUUCGGUAUGUAAAGCUCUAUCAGCAGGGAAGAAAAUGACGGUACCUGACUAAGAAGCACCGGCUAAAUACGUGC